RNAcentral lists this ribosomal RNA (497 nucleotides) under uncultured bacterium. RNAcentral's name for it is "partial 16S ribosomal RNA". It matches the Rfam family "Bacterial small subunit ribosomal RNA", at positions 28 to 507 of the family's 1533-position model. The record is from RNAcentral.
GACGAACGCUGGCGGCGUGCCUAAUACAUGCAAGUUGAGCGCUGAAGGUUGGUACUUGUACCAACUGGAUGAGCAGCGAACGGGUGAGUAACGCGUGGGGAAUCUGCCUUUGAGCGGGGGACAACAUUUGGAAACGAAUGCUAAUACCGCAUAAAAACUUUAAACACAAGUUUUAAGUUUGAAAGAUGCAAUUGCAUCACUCAAAGAUGAUCCCGCGUUGUAUUAGCUAGUUGGUGGGGUAAAGGCUCACCAAGGCGAUGAUACAUAGCCGACCUGAGAGGGUGAUCGGCCACAUUGGGACUGUGACACGGCCCAAACUCCUACGGGAGGCAGCAGUAGGGAAUCUUCGGCAAUGGACGAAAGUCUGACCGAGCAACGCCGCGUGAGUGAAGAAGGUUUUCGGAUCGUAAAACUCUGUUGGUAGAGAAGAACGUUGGUGAGAGUGGAAAGCUCAUCAAGUGACGGUAACUACCCAGAAAGGGACGGCUAACUACGUG